This 253-nucleotide ribosomal RNA is filed under the name uncultured bacterium. RNAcentral's name for it is "partial 16S ribosomal RNA". It matches the Rfam family "Bacterial small subunit ribosomal RNA", at positions 524 to 776 of the family's 1533-position model. The record is from RNAcentral.
UACGAAGGGGGCUAGCGUUGUUCGGAAUUACUGGGCGUAAAGCGCGCGUAGGCGGCUUUGUAAGUUAGAGGUGAAAGCCCGGAGCUUAACUCCGGAACUGCCUUUAAGACUGCAUCGCUAGAAUUGUGGAGAGGUAAGUGGAAUUCCGAGUGUAGAGGUGAAAUUCGUAGAUAUUCGGAAGAACACCAGUGGCGAAGGCGACUUACUGGACACAUAUUGACGCUGAGGUGCGAAAGCGUGGGGAGCAAACAGG